UAAUGUGCUUGUAAUUGGAAUGAUGGUGACCCAAACCCUCACCAGAGUAGCAAUUGGAGGGCAAGUCUGGUGCCAGCAGCCGCGGUAAUUCCAGCUCCAAUAGCGUAUAUUAAACUUGUUGCAGUUAAAAGGCUCGUAGUUGAAUUUUAGCGUGUUCGAGUUUGCCAUUCGUUUGGCUUUUUCGAGUUCGCUUUUGGGUUUUCCCUUUUUACUUUGAGAAAAUUAGAGUGUUUCAAGCAGACUUUUGUCUUGAAUACUUCAGCAUGGAAUAAUAGAGUAGGACUUUGGUUCUAUUUUGUUGGUUAUUGAACCUUAGUAAUGGUUAAUAGGAACGGUUGGGGGCAUUCGUAUUUAACUGUCAGAGGUGAAAUUCUUAGAUUUGUUAAAGACGAACUACUGCGAAAGCAUUUGCCAAGGACGUUUCCAUUAAUCAAGAACGAAAGUUAGGGGAUCGAAGACGAUCAGAUACCGUCGUAGUCCUAACCAUAAACCAUGCCGACUAGUGAUUGGAGGUCGUCGUUUUGCUGA
Molecule: ribosomal RNA, 528 nt
Filed under: Babesia vogeli
Lineage: Eukaryota; Apicomplexa; Aconoidasida; Piroplasmida; Babesiidae
Description: SSU rRNA
Rfam family: Eukaryotic small subunit ribosomal RNA
Source: RNAcentral